AUUGAACGCUGGCGGCAGGCCUAACACAUGCAAGUCGAGCGAGCGGCGGACGGGUGAGUAAUGUAUGGGGACUGCCCGCUAGAGGGGGAUAACUACUGGAAACGGUGGCUAAUACCGCAUACUAACGGAUAACCCAUAUGGGAUUAGCUAGUAGGGGGGGUAAAGGCGCACCUAGGCGACGAUCUCUAGCUGGUCUGAGCGGAUGAUCAGCCAAACUGGAACUGAGACACGGCCCAGACUCCUACGGAGGAAGCAGUGGGGAAUAUUGCACAAUGGGCGCAAGCCGGAUGCAGCCAUGCCGCGUGUAUGAAGAAGGCCUUAGGGUUGUAAAGUACUUUCAGCGGGGAGGCGUUACCCGCAGAAGAAGCACCGGCUAACUCCGUGCCAGCCGCCGCGGUAAUUC
RNAcentral lists this ribosomal RNA (403 nucleotides) under uncultured bacterium. Its description in RNAcentral is "partial 16S ribosomal RNA". It matches the Rfam family "Bacterial small subunit ribosomal RNA", at positions 30 to 526 of the family's 1533-position model. The record is from RNAcentral.